Non-coding RNA from Phrynosoma platyrhinos (Desert horned lizard), 69 nucleotides. NCBI's taxonomy places the organism in Eukaryota, Metazoa, Chordata, Lepidosauria, Squamata, Phrynosomatidae. The record is from the annotation of a GenBank genome assembly.
AGCUUGGUGUAGUGCUUUAAUUGCUGGACUAGGACUCUGGAGACCAAGGUUCAAAUCCUGGCUCAGCUU